Molecule: long non-coding RNA, 449 nt
Organism: Trichosurus vulpecula (common brushtail)
Lineage: Eukaryota; Metazoa; Chordata; Mammalia; Diprotodontia; Phalangeridae
Exons: 3
Source: RefSeq, a predicted model, not a curated record
AAGAAUUUUAAAAAAGGGGAAAAAGACUCAUCAAAACCAACCAACUCAUCAGGCGCAUCUGUUGUUACAUGAAAUAUUUUGCACCCUAUGGCCUCUCACCUUCAGCCACCAGUCUGUGCCUGAGUCAGCAUGCAUUUGCAAAGCCAGAGAGCACUUAAAAAAAAAAAAAGUAUUUCAAAGAAAAUCCUCAACUCAGAGAUUACAGCCCCACUGCAGAGCUUAUUCCAGAGAGAACUACAAGUGGCCACCCAAAGCAUGACUUCAAAGAAAACAAGAUUCAUGUCUGAAGGUCCAACACAGAUACCUUGAACAUUACCUCUAAGAGACACCAUUGAUGGUCUUUUAAAUCAGGAAUAAUAAACAAACACACCUUCCCCCUGGCGCAUCAAAUCCCCACCCUCCACCCUUUGUUUGCUUUCCAGACAAACAAGGAUCCUGCAAAACCAAAA